Molecule: ribosomal RNA, 442 nt
Filed under: uncultured Chlorobiales bacterium
Lineage: Bacteria; Pseudomonadati; Chlorobiota; Chlorobiia; Chlorobiales
Description: bacterial SSU rRNA
Rfam family: Bacterial small subunit ribosomal RNA
Source: RNAcentral
GUGAGGAAUAUUGCGCAAUGGACGAAAGUCUGACGCAGCAACGCCGCGUGCAGGAUGACGGCCCUCUGGGUUGUAAACUGCUGUAGCAGGGGAAUAAUACCCGCCUCGGGCGGGUUGAAGGUACCCUGAAAGUAAGCUCCGGCUAACUACGUGCCAGCAGCCGCGGUAAUACGUAGGGAGCAAGCGUUGUCCGGAUUUACUGGGUGUAAAGGGUGCGCAGGCGGGUUGGUAAGUCAGGGGUGAAAUCUCACGGCUUAACCGUGAAAUUGCCUUUGAUACUGCUAACCUUGAGUUCGGGAGAGGUCGAUGGAAUUCCAGGUGUAGCGGUGAAAUGCGUAGAUAUCUGGAAGAACACCAGUAGCGAAGGCGGUCGACUGGCCCGUAACUGACGCUCAGGCACGAAAGCGUGGGGAGCGAACAGGAUUAGAAACCCUAGUAGUCC